RNAcentral lists this ribosomal RNA (368 nucleotides) under Pseudonebularia maesta. RNAcentral's name for it is "Mitra maesta partial 12S ribosomal RNA". It matches the Rfam family "Bacterial small subunit ribosomal RNA", at positions 875 to 1384 of the family's 1533-position model. Lineage: Eukaryota; Metazoa; Mollusca; Gastropoda; Neogastropoda; Mitridae. The record is from RNAcentral.
UCAUAGAAAUAAAUAAGAAAAUUCUACCAGAGUACUAAGAACAAAAAAUUUAAAACUCAAAGGGCUUGGCGGUGUUUUAGACUACUUAGGGGAACCUGUCUCAUAAUCGACAAUCCACGAUAAACCUAACCUUCUUUUGCACUCAGUUUGUAUACCGUCGUCGACAGGUAACUUUUAAGAUAAGAACAGUUAGCUAACUAAAUAUUUAAAUUAGGACGUCAGAUCAAGGUGCAGCUAAUAACAAGGUGUAGAUGGGUUACAAUUACUACACUCGUAAUAACGGACAACAGCUUUAAAAGCAAUUGGAAAGGAGGACUUAAAAGUAAAAUGAAUUAUAUAAUCAUCUUGAAUAAAGCUCUGAAACGUGC